GAUGAAGAACGCAGCGAAAUGCGAUAAGUAAUGUGAAUUGCAGAAUUCAGUGAAUCAUCGAAUCUUUGAACGCACAUUGCGCCCGCCAGUAUUCUGGCGGGCAUGCCUGUUCGAGCGUCAUUACAACCCUCAGGCCCCCGGGCCUGGCGUUGGGGAUCGGCAGAAGCCCCCUGUGGGCACACGCCGUCCCUCAAAUACAGGGGCGGUCCCGCCGCAGCUUCCAUUGCGUAGUAGCUAACACCUCGCAACUGGAGAGCGGCGCGGCCAUGCCGUAAAACACCCAACUUCUGAAUGUUGACCUCGAAUCAGGUAGGAAUACCCGCUGAACUUAAGCAUAUCAAUAAGCGGAGGA
RNAcentral lists this unclassified non-coding RNA (352 nucleotides) under soil metagenome. RNAcentral describes it as "partial contains 5.8S ribosomal RNA, internal transcribed spacer 2, and large subunit ribosomal RNA". The stretch from base 1 to 120 matches the Rfam family "5.8S ribosomal RNA", at positions 35 to 154 of the family's 154-position model. The record is from RNAcentral.